AUGCGAUGAGCCGAAUUAACUCGAUUUGAGAGUUUAUUUGCGCAAGAGGAGGUCAUUCUAGUUCGACUAGAAACGCAGGAGCGGACUUUGGCAAUCUGUGUGAACCUUUUUGCCACACUCUUUCUUGAGUGCCUCUAUCCCUACCAAAAUGGUAGGGAUUUUU
Molecule: non-coding RNA, 163 nt
Organism: Streptococcus sp. HSISB1
Lineage: Bacteria; Bacillati; Bacillota; Bacilli; Lactobacillales; Streptococcaceae
Source: Rfam